UUGGGGAGGACUGAGCACUGCAGCUCCACCCAAACCCUGCCCUGGCAGCAGCACCAGGGGCUGCUCCAGCACUGAGUGAACCUUUGUGACCCAGACCUGAGCUCCUCAAAUCAAGAUUUCUAUAAAGCACCACAAGCCAUUGGGAAAAGAGCCUUUAAAGCUUUAGGAGAACCUGGAAUUGUUAAAGGCACCUGUCUGAGCUCCUGGGGAGUGCACUGGGGCCAGCUCAGCUUUGCCUCCACCCCUCUGCAGUCAAAGAACUUUAAUCUGGCCAGGUGGAAAUGUUCCUGACUCUGCCAUUUAGCUGUGCUGCUGACAAACCAGAGAGUGCUUGUCAAGCUGAGCCUAAUCUCCUGAGAAAAGCUGCCAUGACCACCUCAGAGAACUUUUAUCAGUGUGAUGUGGAGCUACAUCUGAGCAGAGGGGAAAUUUUGCUUUCCAGCCUUAUUGCAACCCAUUGCCUAAUUGGGAUGUCAGGGUUGUCAUUGCUUCAUGCUGCACUCUCACAGGCCUUGAUACACUCUUAUUCCAAAUAGUUCAGGUGAACAUUCCAGGUGUGGCAGCAGGAUUGCAGAGGCAGAGCAGUUUCCAGUGAUUAAUGCUUUGUCCUUGGGCACCAGGGCUGCACUUCAGCUCUCCCAGUUCCCAUUUAAAUGCAGAUGCCCUCGGUGAAAAGGCAGCUCCAUGGCAGUGCCAUAAGUUUAGCAGGAGUUCUCAUUGUGAAGCCUCUUAAUCAGGGCAACUCCUGCACAAAGGUGACUGACAGGGCAGCUCCUUCAUCCCCUGGUGGAAUCAAAAUAGGUCACUCCAUAAUUCCAGAAUGGUUCCGGGCACCAAGUUCAACAAGGUCUUUGAGAAUGAGAGAACUCAGCCAGUUCUGCAGCUUCCCUAGCCCAAGAUAAAUGUGCUCCUUUAUCGGCAGGUUUUUUACUGUUACUCCUCUUAAUGAUCUGAAUUACUUCUCCAGUUUUAAAGAUGUACAUUCUAAGUGACCUGGCAGAUUUCACAUCCUCCCACUUCAUCCUUUGGAUCAUUUUUGCCUCAAAUUGAGCCAGGUGCAAAGCAGUGAUUCUGUGCUGGGUACAGGCUCUGCUCUUGGUUCUGUCCACAGAGAAAGAAUGGGGAGAGAGAAGGGAGUUGUUUCUGGAUAACACAUUUAAAUUCCUUUUACAUUAGCUAUUUGUGUGUUCAUCAAACAUUUAUUCAAAGUAAUCAGGAGAAACAAUUUCCUUAUCCCUGGAAGCACCACAAGCAGAGUUAAAUCUUUGAGGAACAAGCUGUUGCUGCCACUGAAUCACUCCCUAGCUGCUGGUGCUCCAACCCUCCCAGAAGCAAACUAAAAGAAUUCCCAGGUGCUCCCAGAUUCCAGCUCCUGAAUGAACUUCAUUCCAAGAUGCAAUUUAUUUUCCAUGGUGAGGAUGAGGCUCUGAUGUAGUAGAGAUUUUAGCAGUGCACUGAGUCAUGCUGGGCUCCAGAAUCUCUCUGGGGUGCUCUGCUGAUCACUAAAUUGAUAAACCAGGGUGACUUUAUCACCUCUGAAUGCCACUGCAGGAGUUUGGGAUCCAAGUCUCACAGACACUGAGGCAAGGAGAAAACCAAUCUUCUCAAGUGCAGACACAGAAAGGUUGAAGGAGACCCUAAAGCAGGGGACACAGGGGUAAUUUCAUCCAAAACAGAGAUUUCAAUCAUUUCAAUUUGGCCCCACUAAUUACUCCAUACAAGGUUUGUUUUGAAAAACAGGAUGAAGGGAUGCCCCAUGAAAAUAAGAGGCUUUGUAGAUAACACUGCCAAAGAGAUAUGACAGAGCUGCUUGAACAUUCACAUCAUUCACAAAUUACUUUGAGGCUUGGAAAUAAUAUUUGUUUUCUAUUGGGAUGCAAGAAACUCUGUGACUGUAACUGUGUUAACCUUCCUGCUGCUCCAAAUGCAGUCUCCUGAAAGGGACAACUCCCCCUAAAGUGAGGGAAAAUGUGGGUUUAAACCUUUAUCCAUGGAAUGAACUACAUCAGCCUAAACUUAUGAGGUGGGACAGGAUGGACACUGCAGCUCUGGAGGUGGGACAGGAUGGACACUGCAGAACUGCAGGUGGGACAGGAUGGACACUGCAGAACUGGAGGUGGGACAGGAUGGACACUGUAGAACUGCAGGUGGGGCAGGAUGGACACUGCAGAACUGCAGGUGGGGCAGGAUGGACACUGCAGAACUGGAGUGGGACAGGAUGGACACUGCAGAACUGGAGUGGGACAGGAUGGACACUGCAGAACUGCAGGUGGGACAGGAUGGACACUGCAGAACUGGAGUGGGACAGGAUGGACACUGCAGAACUGCAGGUGGGGCAGGAUGGACACUGUAGAACUGGAGGUGGGACAGGAUGGACACUGCAGAACUGCAGGUGGGGCAGGAUGGACACUGCAGAACUGCAGGUGGGACAGGAUGGACACUGCAGAACUGGAGGUGGGACAGGAUGGACACAGGCUCCUCUGGCUGACCAUCCAAGAAGGGAACUGCUCCACCCACUACAUCACUGCUGCCUUUUGCUAACAACAACCUCCAGAGACCCAGGGGGCCAAAAUCAGGCAGAGCAGCUCAGCUGACCCUGGCAGAUAUCAUCAGUGUGCAGGAGCAGCUCUAUAUUUAGCUCCAGCUGACGUCACUUGUCACACAUGGGGAUGCACUUUACCUCCACGGUUUGAGAGGCAGAUAAGCUCUGCCUCCACACCCCUCAUUUUGUGUUUGUGAAUAGUUCUCUGGGCUCAGCUGCAUUCCUCAUUCAGCAGCAGAGGAACGGUCGAGGAUUUCAAGCUGGACAGUGAAACAGGACUUUACAAAAGCAAGCAAUCCCUUAUUUCUUCCUCCCUCAUCCAGGAGCCCUAAGUGCCUUUGGCAGCUUUGGUCAGGGUUUGGCCAGGGACUCAUGUCCCUGGAGCAGGGCAGUUGCAGGCCAGUGUGACUAAGUCAAAAGCACAGAUUGUGUUUAGCCUGUAAAAUAAGCCAGUGGUCAUGAAGUUAGGCCUUUACACCUCUGCCAGGUGCUCUGGCCCAGGAGAGGCUGGCUGUGAUCCUUUAACCCCAGGGCUGCAUUUCUUACUGCAACAGAAAUGACAAACAGGUGAUGCUCAUUCCCAAUAACCUCCUCUCCUGAGCUGGUGUGUCAGGUCUGUGCUUGCUGCAGUGCCCACUGUGGGGAUCACUUGGUUCAAAUCCCUUGAUUUAGAGUUUUCCUGGAGCUCCUUCAAUCAGAGCAGUCCUGCCUGACCCUGUUCCCCCCUGAAACCAGCAUCAAACUACCCAGGGCUGAGCACUGGCACAGUAAAAUGGGUGGGUUUGCACCCAAGCAGCAUCCAGGCACCAGGCUGCCAACUGCUCAAGAGGAAAAACCCUAUUUUUUAAUACAGAAAAAGAGGUUGGCAUUCUCCAGCAAUUAAAGGGGAAGUGGGGGCACAUGACGGAGGGAGUCAGAUCAGCAGGCACAAAUUUGACUGAGGCAAUGUUGUUGAAUGAAAUGUGAGAAUUGAGGAUGGAAAAGAGGGAAAAAUGUCAGAAUUUAACAGAAUUUACUCAGACACAGUCAGGAAGCAGAUAAAAAAAUAAUGCAAAUGCUCAAUCCUCUUGCCUAUAAAGUGAUCCAAUGUACUGCCUGGUGUUUAUGUUUACUCUUCCACUGAGAGGACUAAGCACUGUUCCAAACCUCUGGAAUCUCUGUUCUUUUAAGGGGAUUUACUGGCUGGGCCAAUGGCUUGGGAUUUAGUGCUUUGGGAAUUCUGCUCUUUGUUGUAUCCCUGUUCUUGCUCUGUAGUUUCUAAAUGAAGGUCACUACUGCAGCUCUUACUCUGGAGAAGUACAAAACUUAUUUUCUCUAGAAAGGAUGGCAAACACUGCAAAUAAGUCCACCUACAACAUAGCUGGCAGUUGCUAUUGUCAGCCUUAACAAAUGUUUCUCCAAAGGACAUUAUGUAGAUAUCAUUAUGUAUAGAGAUGCAUAAAUUAGUGGCCAAAAUUAGCUCACGUAGCUGAUAGAGAAAAAUAUUUCUUGCAGGCAGGGUCAGCAUUUGGCUGGGCCAAGUUCCAACUAAGCUUAAGCAACUCAUUUAAUAGGGAUAAGUAAACACUGGCAAACAAACCAGCUGAGAGCUUUUGUGGUGUAGCACAGACACGUCCAGCAGUAUUUUUGUCCUGCAUUCCCCUCUGUGGAUCUGCUGUUUCUCCCACUGUGAUUGUGUCCCUCUGCCAGGAAAACAGGCAGAGACAGACCUGAGCUGACUGAAUUGUUAGGCCCUGUAAGAGAAAAACUUCUCCAGAUCUCAGCUGUCUCAGAGGUACCCAGUGUUCCAGGCAUAAGUGCUGCUGGUUUUCAGCUAAAAACAAAGAUGAAAUUUGGGGUUUGCUUUAAAAAUUGAUUGAAAGUAGUGUAAUAAAACACCUUGUUAUCUCAAAGUUGUGACUUUCAGAGUUGUGGCUCUCUGGGACCUCUUCAGAAUUCAGUGUUUAAGUCUGGUUCAGGCUGUGGGUGAGUUCUGAACUCUGUAAUGCCCAGACAAUUUAGUGACUGGAAUUUCUACAGCCAGACUUUGAAGAGGAGACAGAAAAUCAAGUGUUCUGAAUGCAGGGACUUGAUCAUCAGUCACUGGGGUCCCUUGUGUGCCAAAACCAAACACUGAGCACAGGUGGGUGGCUGUUUUCUGUGCUGUGCAUGAAGAGCAGCUCUCUCUUUCAGAUGGUCAAGAAAAACUGUGAAAUGAGGACUAUGAAAAAGGAGGAACACAGUGUCUCAAAUCUAGGAUGCUGCUCACCCCUGCAGCAGCACAGCUACAGAUUGCAAAAAGCACAAGAUGUUGGCCAAGAUGGCUUAGAGCUGGCAAACUCCAUGGAAGCAGAAGUUCAGAAGGAAUAUGACUCAGGUUCUGCAGAGAACAGCGUGAAAGGAAGAUUAUGUGGAACAAAAUGAUGCUGGGAAUGGGGCGUGGGUGAUCAGGAUGAAGGGGAACACCAGAAUCAUCUGAACAAGCACUCAUUCAGGUCAAACAAUAAGCAAACAAUGAACCAAAAAAAAGGUAAAAAUAUCAGAAGUCUCCCUCCACUACAGUUUAAUUUCUUCACUGUUUGGAGGGGGUUCAACGCAAAACACAAGUGAGUGAAUGCUGCUCACUGUGUGCUUGUGCAAGGCUGCCCAUGAGCUGCAGACACAAGGUCUAAAAUCUGUGAUUUGAAUCUGUGCUGUCUCCCUCCACCAAUGGGUGCUGACAGAGUGAAGCAAGCCAGAAGCUGAAUCAUGAAAAGCAGUGGAAUUUUCAAAAUCUGUAAUUUAUUUUCUCCCUUUUCCUUAAUAUCGAGCUAAAAUAGAGCUAAUCUUCUCAAAAUGUACUCUGAUGUACUGUCAUGUUCCCAGAAGUUAGUUGGCUUUGUGGAUUUUACUUUUUUUUGGUGUUUUUUAUUUGGGUAGUUUGUGGGGUGAUAUUUUGUUUUGUUUGAGGGGGAUUUUUUUGUGGUUUUUUUUUUGUUUUUUUUUUUUUUUUUAAUUUUUUUGUUGUUGUUUGUUGAGGCAUUUUUUACUAAGGAACUAUAAAGAAGUUUCUUCCACAGAGAUAUUGGAGUUUCUUCUGAAGUCCAGUUGUCCUGGACAUUCACAACCCACAGUAACAUCACACAGAUCCACUGUGAACAUGACCCCAAAUAAAUGCUUUAUGAGGGUACCUCUAUGUACCCCUGCUGAAAACA
Molecule: long non-coding RNA, 5715 nt
Organism: Passer domesticus (house sparrow)
Lineage: Eukaryota; Metazoa; Chordata; Aves; Passeriformes; Passeridae
Exons: 3
Source: RefSeq, a predicted model, not a curated record